This 209-nucleotide ribosomal RNA is filed under the name uncultured bacterium. RNAcentral's name for it is "partial 16S ribosomal RNA". It matches the Rfam family "Bacterial small subunit ribosomal RNA", at positions 1292 to 1500 of the family's 1533-position model. The record is from RNAcentral.
UUCAGAUUGCAGGCUGCAACUCGCCUGCAUGAAGUCGGAAUUGCUAGUAAUCGCAGAUCAGCAUGCUGCGGUGAAUACGUUCCCGGGCCUCGUACACACCGCCCGUCACACCAUGGGAGUCGGAAAUGCCCGAAGUCAGUGACCCAACCGUAAGGAGGGAGCUGCCGAAGGUGGAGCCGGUAACUGGGGUGAAGUCGUAACAAGGUAGC